Molecule: long non-coding RNA, 1257 nt
Organism: Carya illinoinensis
Lineage: Eukaryota; Viridiplantae; Streptophyta; Magnoliopsida; Fagales; Juglandaceae
Exons: 2
Source: RefSeq, a predicted model, not a curated record
GAAAAGUGUACAAUUUUAUUAAAAAAAAUUAAAUAAAUACGAGAUAUGAAAAAAAAAAAAAUUAUACGAAAGAUUUCACCUUUUUAAAGGGAUUACGAUACUUUCGUAACCUACCGUGUAUUUAGCAUUUCUGAGAGGGGAUUCGGAUGCUCAACACAACACGUGGGGUCCAUUGGCCACCAAAAAAAAAGUUGAUAGAAAUGAAAUGAAGGGACGAGAUUAAAGUUUACCUACCUGGUUUAUUCCUGGAUCCAACGGCCACGGGAAAAACUAGGGCCAUAUAAGAAGGAGAUGCAAGGGAACCCAAGUGUGUUAAGCAGGAAGUAGCAGCCGCCUGGGGUCUGCGAAGAAGAAGAAGAUGGUGGAAGAAUCUGGGAGAGGGAGUUUUGGAUAUUCGGAAGGCUUUGGUAUGGGCGAGUUGGGAAGAUAACUUUUAUUAAUUUGUGUCUUCCCUACUCCGCCCAUGCCAUAGGUUUCCGAUUGUUCCUCCCUCUCACUUUUGCCUUCUCUGCCCUAACCCUCCAUAUCUCUGUAUGUGAUUCUGUGCACUUCAUGUGACUAGACUCCUUCGAUCAUAGCUACAGCUCUACUGAUGAAUAAUUUGACGCGGAAUAAUAAUGGAGAAAAAUGAUUUGCUUGAAUAUUUAAUGAAUAUUUUGUCGUGCUAUGCAUGUAUAUAUGCUCUGGGAUUGUCAAAAUAAAUUAUGAUGCGCAAGUUGUAGUAAUCUCCUUUAAUUGUUUGAGCUAUCACAGUACUGUUGGCCUAACAAUAGCAGCAGCUUCACUGAUUUUAUUUUUAUUUUUAUUUUUAUUUUUUGAAGUUCUGAAUAGUAUGGACUAGCAAGGUAGGUCUGACACUGUUGUUUCUGGCUCCGACUGUUUGCCUGAUUCCUAUAAUAAUAGGGACUUAAGAUUUGUGUUGUGAGGGCCAAUGGCAAGUGAAUCUGAGGUCCUGUGUAACUGUUGACUGCUUCCUUUCAGAUCCAGGUUAAGGUGUUCAUAAGAUAUUUGGCAUAUCCCAUGAAAAGCAGCACCUACCAAAAUGAUGCCCAAACAAGUCAAAUCCAUGACAUAAGCUAUUGCCAUUGGAUCUCAUGUUAAGAUAAGAUUUGUACACAAAAGAAAAGCAAAAUGGAAUGUCUGGCUUGCUGGGCAAUAUUUGCUUCCUUAAAUACAGAGCAUUAUUUAAUUAUUCAUCAUAAGAAAACAUGUGCCAAACAAAAUAGCAUGAUUAUAGAAGAUAUGUGAAUUAUGAUA